GUAAUGCGUGGGAAGCUGCCCGAUAGAGGGGGAUACCAGUUGGAAACGACUGUUAAUACCGCAUAAUGUCUACGGACCAAAGUGUGGGACCUUCGGGCCACAUGCUAUCGGAUGCGCCUACGUGGGAUUAGCUAGUUGGUGAGGUAAUGGCUCACCAAGGCGACGAUCUCUAGCUGGUUUGAGAGGAUGAUCAGCCACACUGGAACUGAGACACGGUCCAGACUCCUACGGGAGGCAGCAGUGGGGAAUAUUGGACAAUGGGCGCAAGCCUGAUCCAGCCAUGCCGCGUGUGUGAAGAAGGCCUUCGGGUUGUAAAGCACUUUCAGCGAGGAGGAAGGGGUAGUAGUUAAUAGCUGCUACUUUUGACGUUACUCGCAGAAGAAGCACCGGCUAACUCUGUGCCAGCAGCCGCGGUAAUACAGAGGGUGCAAGCGUUAAUCGGAAUUACUGGGCGUAAAGCGCACGUAGGCGGUUAGUUAAGUUGGAUGUGAAAGCCCCGGGCUCAACCUGGGAAUUGCAUUCAAAACUGGCUAACUAGAAUACGGGAGAGGGGGGUAGAAUUCCAAGUGUAGCGGUGAAAUGCGUAGAGAUUUGGAGGAAUACCAGUGGCGAAGGCGGCCCCCUGGCCCGAUAUUGACGCUGAGGUG
Molecule: ribosomal RNA, 647 nt
Filed under: uncultured bacterium
Lineage: Bacteria
Description: bacterial SSU rRNA
Rfam family: Bacterial small subunit ribosomal RNA
Source: RNAcentral